AUGAGCGCUGGCUACAGGCUUAACACAUGCAAGUCGAGGGGAAACGACGGGGAAGCUUGCUUCCCCGGGCGUCGACCGGCGCACGGGUGAGUAACGCGUAUCCAACCUGCCUCUGACUGAGGGAUAACCCGUCGAAAGUCGGCCUAAUACCUCAUGGCAUCGUCUGCGGGCAUCCAACGACGAUUAAAGAUUUCAUCGGUCAGGGAUGGGGAUGCGUCUGAUUAGCUUGUUGGCGGGGUAACGGCCCACCAAGGCUACGAUCAGUAGGGGUUCUGAGAGGAAGGUCCCCCACAUUGGAACUGAGACACGGUCCAAACUCCUACGGGAGGCAGCAGUGAGGAAUAUUGGUCAAUGGGCGGGAGCCUGAACCAGCCAAGUAGCGUGCAGGAUGACGGCCCUAUGGGUUGUAAACUGCUUUUAUGCGGGGAUAAAGUGAGGGACGUGUCCUUCAUUGCAGGUACCGCAUGAAUAAGGACCGGCUAAUUCCGUG
RNAcentral lists this ribosomal RNA (490 nucleotides) under uncultured bacterium. RNAcentral describes it as "partial 16S ribosomal RNA". It matches the Rfam family "Bacterial small subunit ribosomal RNA", at positions 29 to 507 of the family's 1533-position model. The record is from RNAcentral.